Molecule: small nuclear RNA, 18 nt
Filed under: Arabidopsis thaliana (thale cress)
Lineage: Eukaryota; Viridiplantae; Streptophyta; Magnoliopsida; Brassicales; Brassicaceae
Description: snRNA_14608
Source: RNAcentral
AGAGGGUGAGAGCCCCGU